This 482-nucleotide ribosomal RNA is filed under the name uncultured bacterium. RNAcentral describes it as "partial 16S ribosomal RNA". It matches the Rfam family "Bacterial small subunit ribosomal RNA", at positions 28 to 523 of the family's 1533-position model. The record is from RNAcentral.
GACGAACGCUGGCGGCGUGCUUAACACAUGCAAGUCGAACGAUGAAACCUAGCUUGCUAGGUCGAUUAGUGGCGAACGGGUGAGUAACACGUGACUAACCUGCCCCUUUCUCUGGGAUAACGCUCCGAAAGGAGUGCUAAUACCGGAUACUCACACCGAGGCACAUGCCUUGGUGUGGAAAGUUUUUCGGAAAGGGAUGGGGUCGCGGCCUAUCAGCUUGUUGGUGAGGUAACGGCUCACCAAGGCGACGACGGGUAGCCGGCCUGAGAGGGCGACCGGCCACACUGGGAAUGAGACACGGCCCAGACUCCUACGGGAGGCAGCAGUGGGGAAUAUUGCACAAUGGGCGCAAGCCUGAUGCAGCGACGCCGCGUGAGGGAUGAAGGUCUUCGGAUUGUAAACCUCUUUCAGUAGGGACGAAGCGAAAGCGACGGUACCUAAAGAAGAAGCACCGGCUAACUACGUGCCAGCCGCCGCAGUAA